This is a long non-coding RNA of Athene cunicularia (burrowing owl), 5886 nucleotides long. RefSeq lists it as uncharacterized. Lineage: Eukaryota; Metazoa; Chordata; Aves; Strigiformes; Strigidae. The transcript has 4 exons. The record is from RefSeq and is a predicted model, not a curated record.
UAGUGUCAUUAAUUCACAUGUCCUUCUAACACAUGCCACUCCAGUUAAUGUACAAAUCCCAAAUCCCUCAAUGCAAAAUACACUGACCUCCUCAUUAAAGUAUCUAAUGGCAUGAAGCCUGGUUUGCAUGUAUCCACUGUCUAGUGCUCUGGAUCAGGAAUAAUUACAGGGCAGCAUUUCUGUUCCUGAGCUAGGAGGCAGAAGUAUCUAUGUCACCAGAAAAUAAGACUUUCCUCAUGUCUCAUGCUGCCUUUUCUAAAUGUUGGGGUGUGUUAUGGGGCAGCACAUCCCACUGUGCCCUGCGAGGAGAGGCUGCCCUGGCGUCAGUGUUGGGGCGCUCCAGCAUCCUCUGAAACCUCUGUCUGUCUCACAGCAUCCUUUGACAUCUUGCUGUUGGGCCCCUAAAGGUAAAUAUACCUUAUUCAUCCCUGUGCUUACUCCACUAGCAGCAACUUUUCUGACAGGAAAGGGUCACUGCUGACGGCAGCUGGCAUUAGUCUCUGUCCAAAGCUCAGCUGGGUUCCCAGGCACCGAACAGAGGGAUUUCCUGCAGUCUGGCCCCAUCCCUCAGGCAGCCCCUGAGGUUUCUCACUUGUUGGAAAAGAAACACUUUAUGGGGAGCAGAGAUGGGGUGCUUGCUGUUCCUGGGGCUAUACAGAAAAGGCCCAGCACCUCAGUGUGCAUCUUUGCUAGUGAACAGCCUUAUACAGGAAGGAAAGGCAGAAGCAACUGUUCUCUUUCUUUCUUUUUUCACCAUUUUUCUAAUAGGCCUCUGGAGAAGUGAACGUACUUCUGGUAAGUGCCUGGAGAGAGCAGUUAUCUUCAACAUGGUAUGGAGUUUUCAGCAAAUGUAUCCUGCAUCUCUUGGGGCACUUUGGGAUGUCAGUGCUGCAGAUGUGUGUGCAGCUGGUGCAGCAACCGAAGGAAACUGCCGUUACAACACACACAAACUGGACUUUUGUUCCCUGCCAGCACCACAUGCAGCCUGAGUAAUAUUUGUCCUGUUUCCACAUUAAGAGAGAGAGAAUGUGCUGGGUGUUUUCAACAGGAUUUAAGUCUUCAGAGUGCACAUAUUCAGGCUUUAUUCUGAGCCUUUCAGGGAAGCAAAGAAGACACUGAGAUCCUCCUGUAAUCACCUGCCUCCGGGAGCUGCAACUCCACAGACAGUACUGGGUAUCAGAAGAGCUGGCAAAAUCACAGGGGUUCAGAGCUGUCUUAUCUGGCUGCGGCGGUUUUUACAUCUGGAGACUCUCCUGAGAAACCUCUCAUUACGCCUUUGGAAGAAAAGAAACACUGUAAGUAUUCCUAAGAUUAGUAACGAUAUAAACAUUUCAGUUGUGCAAACUCAUGAAUAUUCACUCACAUGAAGUUGGGCUUUAGUUAUAUUCAGCUCCUGAUUAAGAUGUUAGACAAAGCAGACAUUCUCCAGUAUACUUUGUAUGUGUGUUCUGGGGCUAAAUAAUACUGGCAUCAUUGCUGUAGCUGCAAAUAUUCAUUUCAAUGUUUAUGAGAAAUUACGUUCUUCAAAAUAUAAAAACAAUAGUUAUGGGGCUUUUGUGGUUAUAUUUUGUUGAAAUAUGCUUGCAGAAAUAGCUGGAAAAUAUUCUGGUGAUUGGUCUCAGCUUAUCUCCCUUUUAAGAGGAAAUAGUAAGGGAAGUGUGGGCCAGUUUGAACCUGCAGAGGAUCUAACAAGAUGCUGGUGCUCAGCAGUGGAGUUUACAAAACAGUAUGCUCAGUGCAAGCAGUGAUAUGGUGAACCUGCCAAACAAGGAGACUCCUUUACCCAAAUGGUGAUCAGACAUUAGAACAGGCAACCUCCUCUGCUUCAGCAUGAUUUAUUCGCAGCACAAUCUGCAAAUCCUUUGUGCUGCUUUGCUGGCAUAAAGAGCCACCAAGUGAUGAAGAGCUUUGGGAUAGACUAAGUGAGGUGUGCUGAGCCUUUUGGGGCCUCUCCCCAUUGCCGACCAGUCCCCGAGCACCAGCAAAGCUGGGCGCUGCAGACCCCUGGAUCUGCUCCAGCUCAGCCUUUGUUGGCACCCUGCACCACACAGCAAAUGAGAGCUGGUGCCAAGGCAAAUGCAUUAGCGCAGUCUGCUGGCAGCUUGUUCUCUCUAUUCCAACUAAGAUGUUUGAAAAAUAUCCCUGGUUUUGUUCACCGGAGUGUUGGCAACAAAGCAAGGAAUGUAGGGGAGCAUCACAUGGGGAAUAAUGACAGGCUAAAUGUUAUUUUCAUUACAGCCACAUUAACAUGAUUAGAGAAGGUGGUCACAGUGCAAGAGGAGUUUUCUGUCCUCCUUCAGUUCUCCAUUACUGGAGACAUUAAUCCAAAACCAAACCCACCCGUCUUUCCCAAAAUCUUACUCAUAUCUUUCAUUCUCCUUUCCUGCUGCAGUCUGUGAGCCUUCAGCUUGCUGGCAUGCUUCAGAUGAUUUUUAAAACAUCAGCAGAUGGUAGCCAUGAAUAGUUAAUACCCAUGGACGUAUUUUCUGUCCAUAGGUUUCCCAGCACAGGGACUGCCUUCCUCACUACACACCCCCUAAUUACAGAAAUCUUCACCUGUAAGAUGGUCCCAUGGUGUUGUCAAGACAGAGCAGCUUUUGAGCACUGUUUUGUGUAGUCAUGCACCAUGCUUCACAUCCCUAAAGCAAAUAGAAAAUUGCCAGAGGGUCUCCCCCUUUCAGAAAAAGGAGAAAGAAAUCCUCUAAGUCUGAAGGACAGAAAGACAAGGAGUGGGCAAAGGCAAAUGCUGCUCAGGGAAAUAAUCACCCAAACUUAGGAAGCAAAAGAACCUUGAAUGAAACAGAAAAUUGAGCUUGGAUAAUUUUCCAAUUCAUUAACUGCUGAAAUGGAGCAAAUUCCACAUCUGGACCUGACUUCAUUAAAUCUCAGGUUUGAGUCACAUUGACCUCUUACUGCCGAAUCCCAUCCCUCUCUAACCAGAGUAGGAAGCUGGUCCCUUAGAGAGACACUCGCCCAGCAGUGCUGUCCCAUUGCAGACAUUCCCGUCAAGCAGCUCCAAGCUGUCCAUCCAAGAUUUACUCCCAGCCUUUUGAACCCAGCUCUGCUUUUCAAAGCACAGCAGGACACACUACUUCAUGCCUUGAAAUCCUGGAGGUAAAACAAACAACAUCAGCGUGCACAGAGCUAACAUAGCUUGGACACAGUGCUGCUCCUGCUCUUCAAUCCCACCGAGAUGGCCUGGAAAUGCUGUACUGUGGCAGUGCUGGGCAGUGAGGAGCAGACCCAGAGCACCAGUGCUGCAACAGGACAGUUGGCUGUAAAAUUGUGCAGCACGUAGUUGUCUCCAUAAUUUCUGACAGCUCAAAAGGUUUGUGACCAGGAGGGCCAACAGAAAAAAAAAAAAAAAAAAAAGUUACUCAUAUUUAGUCACCCUCAGUCCAUAUUUAGGCACCUACAUACAUUGCCCACUUCCCAGCUGGGACAGACAGCAUUUUAGUUGCGAGGAACUGAGAUCAAGCUCAGCAGGAUGCCCACACAUUUCAGCAUCCCACACACUUAAUACCCAUGAAUGUUGCAACAUAGCAACUAGUCUGUAAUUAGUACAGACGUUGCCAAAGCUGCCUUUGUAUUACUUAUGAGUCAUGCUACUAAAAUAUUCUUUAUUCAUUAUCCAAGUCCUUUUCAUUUCAGUGCCAGCCAUUACCAUGUUGCAGGCUACACAGGACUCUGUCAGGCUUGUCAAAGCCAAGUGCUUUCUGAUAGGGAUCUUCAUAUUUAAUCUGACGAAGAAUUACUUUACAAAAGAGUGAGAUCAAAAAGGUUCAUCUCUGAACAAAAGAAGAAAGAAAAAUUUAAACGCAUCUCAAAGUAAGGGAUCUUCUCCUUGUUGCUUCUCCAGGCACACAUCUAGUUAGGAGAACCACUUUCAAACUUGGCUUAUAUUGUUCUGUCAGUUAAUUAAAUAUUUUAAUGCCCUUCUAGUUAACGAGCAGGGAAAAAGGCUCAUGAAAAACUCAAACUGAAUAUGAAACUUUUUUUCAUCUUUAAUGUAAUAUAUGGAACAGAAAGGGGGAAAUGUAGCUGAAAUGUAUUAUGACAAGCAAAUAAAAGUAAUAUCAGAAAAUUCCUUUGGGCAGAUUCUGUUCUAGGCCACUAGUAUUUACUAAGAUUUAUUUUUUUAUUCACCGUGUUAUUAAAUCACUGGGUUGGAAAGUCCUUGGGUCAUUUCAAACCACUGUCUCAUUGAUUUCCUAUUCCUAAAGCAUCCUUAAUAUAGGAUUGUCAUUAGAGCCGAUGACAACGAUCCCUCGAUUUCCCUCGGCAGUGGACUAAUUGUCUAAAUGUUCUUGCUGUUGAAGAUGAACACUGACAGAUUAAUUCAGGCCCCAAGACCAGCAAUUCUCUUUAGCCUUUGGAAACCCGCUGUAUCUAUGCUUCAGGGAACAACUACUUUCCCACCCAGAUCUGUAUCAGAGCUGGAGCAUUUUUUCUGGGCCAUGCAAGCACUGGAGAGAAGAGGCCAACCCUGGUACCUGUCGGUGCAACACUGGACCAGUGUAACAAGAUUACUGACGCUAGUAAUGCCUGAGACAGGCCUGAAAUGUAUUCUCUGUGUCAGAGCAAAUCAAAGUGCAGUCAAGAAUAAUCUUUGAACUAUUCAGUUUAGCAAUCUAAUUAUUUCUCAAUUAGAAAGGGCAUGGCAGAAAUGCAGUACAGCAUGCUAUCAAGAAGACAGAAAGAAAACUUCCAAAGCAUUAAUCUAGUAAUAAAAUUAAAUUUCUAUUUUUAAGAUGAAUCAAAAAUUUUUUCCCCCAUGUUAUCCAUCUUCCUUUCAAUAAAUCCCUGAGAGCACAGAAGCUUGGCACUAGAAUGUACUUAAUGCCUUUCAGGAGAAACCAGACUCAGUGGCAUCAUUUCCUGCAGGCAUUACAGACCUGGAAAAACACAUCCACAUCUGUAUGGGGAAUGGCACCAGCUCCUUCUCCCAGAUCAAAACCCAGCAGCAGUGACUUGCCAAGGAUCUAUGGCAAAAGGCUGGGCUCUGUGCUGCACAUAAACAGACAGAUGUGCAUGACUUGCCCCACACUGGAAGACCCCAAAUUCAUGUCACACAGACUCCCAAACCCUGGCACAUUGCAGCGUGGAUUGAGCAGGGGUCAUGUUUCUCACCUUGCUCCCAUGCUGGGACCAGCCUGCACACGGAGAGGGUCUCUUCACGGCUGGGGACGUACUGCUGCAUCAGUACAAGGAGGGACAGGACCAAAGCAACUGGGAGGAACCACCAGAUGGACAGCUGAAGAAGUGCUGCUUUUACUCACCUUUUUUCUACUCCCUUUUGCAAGUGUUUUUGACCAGUACUAAAAGCACAUGCAUCUGUGUCCUGGUUUUGGCUGGGAUAGAAUUAAUUUUUCCUCUUAGUAGCUAGAACAGUGCUGUCUUUUGGAUUCAGUCUGGGAUUUGAUAUGAGAAGAAUGCUGAUAAUACACUGAUGUUUUCAGUUGUUGCUAAGAGAUCAAGGACUCUCCAACUCCCCAUGUCCUGCCCGUGUACAAGAAGCUGGGAGGGAGCACGGCCAGAGCACCGGACCCACAUCAGCCACUGAAAUACUCCAUAUCAUGUAACAUCAUGCUCAGUGUAUAAAGGAGGGUUGGCCAGGAAGGAGGGGGUUCUCUCUCGCUUCUGGGAUUGUGACUGGAGGAUCUUGGUUUUUCAGGAUUUCUAGCCAGGAAUGGGCUGGGUGUCAGUUGGCAGGUGGUGAGCAAUCACAUUGUGCAUUACGUGUUUGUACUUUCUAUUAUCGUUAUUGUUUUAUUUUAUUACAAUUAUUAAACUGUUUUUAUCUUAACCUAUGAGUCUCCCUUUAGCCCUGCAAUUUUUUUCCCUAUCCCCUUGUCAGGGGGAGGGUGAGCGAGUGGCUGCAUGGUA